CAAGGUUAAAAAGCCGUAAAAACGGCUAAACCUGAUCAUUCACUUUGUGCACUUAUUGAAAUUAUGCUUUGGCAGACUUAUUUCGAUUUUUCCGAAGCCUUUGGGUGUUAUUCGACCCCAAAGGGGUCUGCCAGAGUUUUCUGUAAAAAUAUAGCCUGAUUUUUUGUCUGAAGUUUUUUAAAUAAAACCAAAUA
Molecule: unclassified non-coding RNA, 194 nt
Filed under: uncultured fungus
Lineage: Eukaryota; Fungi
Description: sequence contains ITS1, 5.8S rRNA gene
Source: RNAcentral